Molecule: transfer RNA, 59 nt
Filed under: Camelus bactrianus (Bactrian camel)
Lineage: Eukaryota; Metazoa; Chordata; Mammalia; Artiodactyla; Camelidae
Also listed under: 2 other names
Rfam family: tRNA
About the family: Transfer RNA (tRNA) molecules are approximately 80 nucleotides in length. Their secondary structure includes four short double-helical elements and three loops (D, anti-codon, and T loops).
Source: Rfam by way of RNAcentral
AUAGCUCAGUGGUAGAGCGCAUGCUUAGCAUGCAUGAGGUUCUGUGUUCAAUUUCCAGU